UUACCUGCAGAUUGAGAAGGUUGGUUUGCUGUUGUAUACGCAUAUUGAAUUUUCCUUUUAGUUUUGCUAAGAUUCUCUGAAGGUGAUUGUGGGUUGUGUAGCUGCGUUUAGUGAUGUUGUUACCUCGUCAUCUCUUUGGGUGUUUUGAGAUGCUGGUAUAUGAGCUCACGGAGUUUACUCGUUUUAUUUUAACUACUAUCUGCAAUGUUUCUAUUAUAUUUGCAAAUACUCCCUUUGUAAACUAAUGUAAGACGCUCAAAAUUUGCACGCUUUGUGCAAUUCUAGAUUAUCACAGUGUCUAAUCAUCUUUUUUUUAAUGUUAGCAAAGUAACCUAUUGAAUUUAAUCUCUCCCAACAAGAACAGAAAUAAAAUUUACUCGUUUUAUUUUAACCUGAGAAUCGUGCUACUUGCACUUUUUCAAAAAACACCCUGUGCUCGGACAGAAUUUUGGAGCAGGGACAUCCAUACACAACACCACCUGGUGCCCGGUAGUUCCAACGGGCUGUCUCUUCUCCUUUCUCCUCCUCUCAAGAAAGAAACAGAGUCUUCUAGACCCCUCCCAAAUUCCUCGUCGCCGCCGGGAUCUCGCGUCACCGCUCUCCUCCGCUGCCUCCCGAACUUCCCUCGCUCUGGAUCCGGUCCACCAUGAGCCAAGCCUCGCCGCCAAGUCCCUUGCCGCCGCCUGUGUCCUAUGUCCCCACGGCAGCCGCCGCCGCAUCGGCCCCCUUGCUCGAUGCAUCGGCUCGGCUCCAGCGCGUGACCCAGGGUCGCAUGGUGGGCUGCGCGAGCCUGCUGGCCUGCCCCGCAGCCCCCUCGCCAACAUGGGCCCAGCCGCCCCUCCUCGCCUCGCGAGGUAGCUGGAGAAGAAGCUGCCGGAUCGGAGGCUACCGCAGGACAAGUUCAUCUGCUGCUGCUGUGUCUGCUUGUUGAAGAAGGGUGUGCCGGCAGGAGGAGGCAGUGUUGAGAGUGCUCGAUCUGCAACAGGGCGAGCUUGGGCUGCACCGCAGGCUCUGGUUCUCAACCUCCAACAUGAUUCCCUUUCUUCCGUGCCUCCAAUGGAGGCUACCAGCGGCAGGAACGCCACGAGACAUCCUGGCAUUGCAGAUGCAGAGCUUUCUAGGGGCGGCCUGUUUGUUUCCGGCCGCGCCGAUGUCAACUACCUUGAUCCACUGUGACUGUCCCCAACCACGCUCAACUCCCCAAACCUGUACCAUCCCCUCAGGUCAAUAUUCAUACCCUUUUUCAUUGCGACAUUUGUCAGAUUUUUGUACUUGGGAUGAUUUGGUGCAAGGUAUAGAGGAGCAUGAUCAAGCAUGGCUAAAUAUAUUUGCAAGUAGAGAAGUUCUUGAGUCACACACUAAAGGAAGAGAGAUAAGCUUUUUCUCUUUGUUGUAUCAAGUAAUUUACUUCCCAGUCCGCUAUAUAUUAUUGUGUACUGAACGCAGUCUGAAAUAACCUCUUUUACAAAAAAAUACAUACCUGUGUGGUUGUGUGAGAUCUAUUUGGAAGUGCUAAUUGAUGAAAUGUAUGUAGCAUUAGUAAUAACCUUCUGAUGUGUGGUCAGAUAUGUGAUAAUUAGUGAAAUGUUGCUUUAGAUAGUUUUUUCAUGACUUCAACAUGUGCCUAACAUCUCCUUGAUCAUGUGAGUUCAUAUAUCAGUUUUUAACUUCUGCAAGUAAAUUUUGAUGUUGUGCAAGUUAUAUAUGAUUGGAAUCACAGGGAAAACUGUGUGAUUCUUUUCUUUCAUGAUAGUAGACUCUUAAACCUACAUGAACCAGCAUAAUUGUUGUAAACAUUAUUUAAAGACGUAUAUCUUCAUUUAUCUUAAUUAGUUUAGAUACAUGGCGAGGGAAAUUCUACUCGAAGCUCAUUGCGUCAGAUAGUCAACCAAACGCACCACAUCGUGGGCUGGCCCACCAUGGCCGGAGAUGAGAAUGACCGCUCAAAGUGGAGUCGGAGACGACGCGACAAAUCAGAUUUUGGUGCAUUAUAUAGUCUCUCGGCAGUUUUAUUCCCUAUAAAAUGGUGUUUUUAGGUGAGAAGAUAGAUGAAGUGAGGGCUCAAGAGCUAAUAUUUUCGCGCUGAUGUUUUGAACAAACAAGAAAAAGAAGGAUACACUAUGCUUGACAAACGAUUCCAUGACCUGAUAGAUGCCUAUGGUAUGUAACUAUGUAAGUUGAACUAGCUGUGUGAGUUAUGCCUGACAUUUUAUUCUCUUCAUGGUGGUGCUGUGUACAGAUUCAUGCUUCUUGUUCAUAUUCAGCAAAGUAUUCAGUCAAACACCUUUACUUAAUUCUUGUUUCGUAAGGAACCUUCUAUAAGUGUGUGCUCAAAGCUCGCUAUAGUAUGUAUGUUAUUUGAAUAUAUUAUGCUAUUUAUCUUAACAUUCAAAAUUGGUGUGCCUAAAUAGCAAGAAAUGAGCAAUGUUGAAUCCUUGGAUUAAAGGCAACAUAAUAAUAUGUUUUUGGAGAUUUCUUGUUGUGCCCAUGCUGAUGAUUUGGGUGAUUUGGCGUGAGCGCAACAGCCACCGCUGCAUAUUUCACAAUUCAGAGUUAUUUGCUGCGGUGCUUGCGUGCAUUUGCCAUUGAGUAAUCCAAUGUUGAAAGGAGGCUGAAGCACGACACAUCAUUUUGCCAUAGUUUAAUGGGCUAACGGCUGAUGUGUGUAUUGCCUUCUACUUUUCAUGUGUUUGUAAAGUAUUUGUUCCUUCUAUCAAUGAAACCGACAACGGCCACUUUGGGUCAUCAAACUGAACCUAUAUUUCUAUGGAAUCUUGCGGUGAGGUUGAGGCAUCAUCAAACUGAACCUAUAUUUCUAUGGAAUCUUGCGGCGAGGUUGAGGCAUUAAUGUUCAUUGAAGUGCCAAAUUCAUGUACAUGAAAAAACUUUCUGAACUUGUAUAUAGUAUCUUAUGUAUGCAAGUUAUAUAUCCUAUAUUUUAUGCAUGUUCUUUUUUCAUCUUAAUUCUCACCCAUGGGUGGCAUUUUGGACCGUAUUAAUGCUCAUGGGCAUGGAGAUAUGAUGUUGCACGGCAUGAGUAGGUGAUGGAAGAGGAGAUGUGAACAUGUUGGCCCCAUUGGAUUGAAGCCGGAGGAUGAAGUAACUUGUUGCCAUACCUCCAUUGCACAUACUCUUGGGGAUAGAUAAUGAGAUUGUGGUGUUGUCGUUCUUUCAUUAUCGAUAUUAAGGUUAGUCCAAAGUGAUAUGCUUAAUGUGUCACCAUUUCUAGCGGAAAAUGAUGUGUGCUUGAGGUCGAGCACAUGUCAAGUGAGGUGGAACAAAGACAUAGACAGAUUUGGAGUUAGGUGUCAUCACAAAUUCACUAUUGCCAGAUAUGUGGACUUGUUAGCUAUUGCGAAAUGCUCUCUGUCCCUAGCGGACACCUCGAUAUAGGACUUAGCGGACAGAGGGAAAGCCGAGUAGGAAGAACAAGUCCUCUUCCAAGGUGAAAAUGGAAGCCCGUAUGUUUGAUUGUUCCCAAUGUGUACCGAUCAAAUAUUCAAAUGUAUAACAUCAUUUUGAUCAAUGUCUCCUACAUUAUUUCGUUGUCCCCUAGCAUUGCACUCAUGCCUUCUUUUUGAUUCCGUAGCGUAGCACGGGCAUCUUACUAGUUACAUCAGAAGUCUUUUCGACUCUCGAGUUGCUUGUGUAGAGCAAUGUGUGCCACCACCAAGUCCCGAACUAAAUGCCCCAUAGGCCAUUGGAUUACGGAAACCUUAUCGCCAGGCUUCAUUAGUUUCUAUGUUAGAUGCUUUUCUCAUUUGCUUGUUUUCCGCAUGAAUCAUACAAAUUGGAUGCAGAAAUACAUAAGUUUUGAAUCAUUAUACUUAAAUUGCUCCAAUAGCCAUCUUAGACGGAAUGCACCCUCAUGGCUCGACUAUAAAUACUUAUCAGUAUAUCAGUGGCUUAAGGUGUAAAAACAUCUGGGAAAAUUAAUUUUGUUUCUGGAAACAGCCUCUUGCAGAAAUGUAGGGAAAGGCUGCGUACUAUAGAAUCAAAGCGGUCGGACCCUUGCCCGGACCCUGCGCAAGCGGGAGCUACGUGCACCGGGCUGCCCUUUUUUUUAUACUGCUCUGCUUUGAAGAAGCUCUUGUUCUCUCUUUAAGUAUGAUUCCACUCACAAAUUCUUGGGUUAGUAUAUUGUUUCCUUAGACAUAUCUAUACUCCUUUAUAGUGCACGAGUAGGUUUUGGUAUUAGCCGUCAGAUAUGCUACAUCGGAUGGUUGGUAAGUGGCAAAUCUGUGAGCUGCUGCCUGCUAGUCGUAGAUUAAAGUCCAUCCAACGGUUCAAGUCGCCUGGAUUCACAGCUACAGUAUACCUCAUCCAACUGUCCUGCCAUCCAACCUGAUGAGGCAAUGACAAACGGGGCAACAGGGGAGUCUAAAUCUGACAGUGAAGCAUCAGAUGUUAGUGGCUCUGAUGGAGAAGACACCUCUUGGAUUUCAUGGUAUUGCAACCUAAGAGGGAAUGCGUUCUUCUGUGAAAUCGAUGAUGAUUACAUUCAAGAUGACUUCAAUGUUGUGGGCUUAGCAGUCAAGUUCCAUAUUAUGAUUAUGUUCUUGAUCUCAUUUUAGAUAUCGAGUCUUCUCAUGGUGAUAUUUUCACAGAAGAACAAAAUGAGCUAGUGGAAUCAGCUGCUGAGAUGUUGUAUGGGCUAUUUCAUGCGCGAUACAUUCUUACCGGUAAAGGGUUGGCUGCUAUGCUGGAGAAAUACAAGAACUAUGACUUUGGACGAUGUCCACGGGUUUAUUGCUGUGGCCAACCAUGUCUACCAGUUGGACAAUCGGAUAUUCACUGAUCUAGUACAGUGAAGAUAUACUGUCCCAAGUGCGAAGACAUCUACUAUCCACGGUCUAAAUACCAAGGCAAUAUUUUGCUGUUUCCUCACCUGUUUCUGAUGACAUACGAUCAUCUCAAGCCCCAGAAGCCCUCGCAGCGCUAUGUUCCUCACGUAUUUGGCUUCAAGCUCCACAAGCCAUUAUGCGGAGGUGAAGGAAAAGAUAAGAGGCCCCGGAAGACUACUACAUGA
RNA transcript from Triticum aestivum (bread wheat), 5029 nucleotides. It is a transcript of the gene named casein kinase II subunit beta-1-like, with no coding region annotated. The record is from RefSeq and is a predicted model, not a curated record. Lineage: Eukaryota; Viridiplantae; Streptophyta; Magnoliopsida; Poales; Poaceae. The transcript has 9 exons.